GAACUGAGACACGGUCCAUACUCCUACGGGAGGCAGCAGUAGGGAAUCUUCCACAAUGGGCGCAAGCCUGAUGGAGCAACACCGCGUGAGUGAAGAAGCGUUUCGGCUCGUAAAGCUCUGUUGUUAGAGAAGAACGUGCGUGAGAGUAACUGUUCACGCAGUGACGGUAUCUAACCAGAAAGUCACGGCUAACUACGUGCCAGCAGCCGCGGUAAUACGUAGGUGGCAAGCGUUAUCCGGAUUUAUUGGGCGUAAAGCGAGCGCAGGCGGUUUGAUAAGUCUGAUGUGAAAGCCUUUGGCUUAACCAAAGAAGUGCAUCGGAAACUGUCAGACUUGAGUGCAGAAGAGGACAGUGGGACUCCAUGUGUAGCGGUGAAAUGCGUAGA
This 386-nucleotide ribosomal RNA is filed under the name uncultured bacterium. Its description in RNAcentral is "bacterial SSU rRNA". It matches the Rfam family "Bacterial small subunit ribosomal RNA", at positions 316 to 694 of the family's 1533-position model. The record is from RNAcentral.